GUGUAUCAGUGAUGAAAAUUAGUUAUCCCUGUCUUAAAAUCUGUGAAUGAUACUUCUUUCCUGAGAUACAC
Small nucleolar RNA from Bacillus rossius redtenbacheri, 71 nucleotides. RefSeq annotates it as small nucleolar RNA R38. The record is from RefSeq and is a predicted model, not a curated record. NCBI's taxonomy places the organism in Eukaryota, Metazoa, Arthropoda, Insecta, Phasmatodea, Bacillidae. The transcript has a single exon.